RNAcentral lists this ribosomal RNA (449 nucleotides) under uncultured bacterium. RNAcentral describes it as "partial 16S ribosomal RNA". It matches the Rfam family "Bacterial small subunit ribosomal RNA", at positions 29 to 523 of the family's 1533-position model. The record is from RNAcentral.
AACGAACGCUGGCGGCAUGCCUAACACAUGCAAGUCGAACGAGAUCUUCGGGUCUAGUGGCGCACGGGUGCGUAACGCGUGGGAAUCUGCCCUUUGGUUCGGAAUAACAGUUGGAAACGACUGCUAAUACCGGAUGAUGACGAAAGUCCAAAGAUUUAUCGCCAGAGGAUGAGCCCGCGUAGGAUUAGCUAGUUGGUGUGGUAAAGGCGCACCAAGGCGACGAUCCUUAGCUGGUCUGAGAGGAUGAUCAGCCACGCUGGGACUGAGACACGGCCCAGACGCCUACUGGAGGCAGCAGUGGGGAAUAUUGGACAAUGGGCGAAAGCCUGAUCCAGCAAUGCCGCGUGAGUGAUGAAGGCCUUAGGGUUGUAAAGCUCUUUUACCCGGGAUGAUAAUGACAGUACCGGGAGAAUAAGCUCCGGCUAACUCCGUGCCAGCCGCCGCGGUAA